GUGAAUCAUCAAAUUUUUGAACGCAAAUUGCACUCUCCGGUUUUCCGGGAGAGUAUGCCUGUUUGAGGGUCAGCCUAAAAAAAAUCGACGUUGUUGCUGUUAUUUAAGGGUGAGUUUCGUCGUAGAUUGGUUUAUCUUAAACCUUUUUUUUUUUUUGUUUAAGCUACUUUUAAUUUUUCUUCAUUAAUUCAUUUACGUUUCUAAUAUUUUUAUUUCUUAUACGUUUAAGCUUUAUCGAUCUUUUAUUAGAUGUUAUCUUCUCAUCAUAUCGCG
Molecule: unclassified non-coding RNA, 273 nt
Filed under: Glomus sp.
Lineage: Eukaryota; Fungi; Glomeromycota; Glomeromycetes; Glomerales; Glomeraceae
Description: partial contains 5.8S ribosomal RNA and internal transcribed spacer 2
Rfam family: 5.8S ribosomal RNA (bases 1-72)
Source: RNAcentral